UGGGGAAUCUUAGACAAUGGGCGCAAGCCUGAUCUAGCCAUGCCGCGUGAGCGAUGAAGGCCUUAGGGUUGUAAAGCUCUUUCAGUGGGGAAGAUAAUGACUGUACCCACAGAAGAAGCCCCGGCUAACUCCGUGCCAGCAGCCGCGGUAAUACGGAGGGGGCUAGCGUUGUUCGGAAUUACUGGGCGUAAAGCGCGCGUAGGCGGACCAGAAAGUAGGGGGUGAAAUCCCGGGGCUCAACCUCGGAACUGCCUUCUAACCUCCUGGUCUUGAGUUCGAGAGAGGUGAGUGGAAUUCCGAGUGUAGAGGUGAAAUUCGUUGAUAUUCGGAGGAACACCAGUGGCGAAGGCGGCACACUGGCUCGAUACUGACGCUGAGGUGCGAAAGCGUGGGGAGCAAACA
RNAcentral lists this ribosomal RNA (402 nucleotides) under uncultured bacterium. Its description in RNAcentral is "bacterial SSU rRNA". It matches the Rfam family "Bacterial small subunit ribosomal RNA", at positions 355 to 774 of the family's 1533-position model. The record is from RNAcentral.